CCUACGGGAGGCAGCAGUGAGGAAUAUUGGUCAAUGGGCGCGAGCCUGAACCAGCCAAGUAGCGUGAAGGAUGACUGCCCUACGGGUUGUAAACUUCUUUUAUAAAGGAAUAAAGUGAGGCACGUGUGCCUUUUUGUGUGUACUUUAUGAAUAAGGAUCGGCUAACUCCGUGCCAGCAGCCGCGGUAAUACGGAGGAUCCGAUCGUUAUCCGGAUUGAUUGGGUUUAAAGGCAGCGUAGAUGGGUUUUUAAGUCAGUUGUGAAAGGUUGCGGCUCAACCGUAAAAUUGCAAUUGAUACUGGCAGUCUUGAGUACAGUUGAGGUAGGCGGAAUUCGUGGUGUAGCGGUGAAAUGCUUAGAUAUCACGAAGAACCCCGAUUGCGAAGGCAGCUUACUAAACUGUGACUGACAUUGAUGCUCGAAAGUGUGGGUAUCAAACAGGAUUAGAUACCCUUGUAGUC
RNAcentral lists this ribosomal RNA (460 nucleotides) under uncultured bacterium. RNAcentral describes it as "partial 16S ribosomal RNA". It matches the Rfam family "Bacterial small subunit ribosomal RNA", at positions 338 to 795 of the family's 1533-position model. The record is from RNAcentral.